CUUUCACAACCAAGAUUUAAAUCUGUGAUUAAUCCAGGUGUUGGGGAUAUAUGGCCAGAGUAGUUUGAGGAAGGGGGGACUAAACACCCCAGCCUCAAAUGGCAAACUGGUGUCUUCUAUAAGUCCCUGUCAGUUCCACUCUCCACAUGUCCUCCACACAUCCAAUCAGAGCCUUAAGUUCAAAAGUGAAUUAAAACUCAAAGAAGCCUGGGGACAGGGACAAGGGGAGAGCAGCAAGAGAAAGAAAGAAAGAAGCAAACGAAAUUCCUGAAUGGAUAGGAGAUGCUACGUCAGCGGUACCCGAGUCGCAUCCUCCACUCCACAAGAGAAGAGCUAGGAGAGACCCGCGGCGGUGCAGCCACGCGCCAGCGCCAGCGCCAGCGCCAGCGUCGUUGGUUGCCUCCUCCUUACAGAGGCAAGGGCCAGUCAUAGAAGCAGCCUCGUUGUUCAUCGGUUCAUUGAUGUCAUCAUAGGUGGCCCACAUCUCUGGCUUUGGGCUUCUCCCCUGGGCGGGUGGGUGCUCCACCCUCCCGCCCUCUCCGCUCUGUGGACAAGGACGUGAGGACCAGAGACAUCCAGCACCACGGACAGCUCCCAGCGAUGACCCAGAAAGCCAGGUGUGGUGCUUCACACCUGUAAUCUCAGCACCUGGACAUCUGGGGCAGAAGAAUGGCCAAAGAGAAGACCUGACCUGGCCCCAAGCUCCCCAAGGGCAAAGUGUGUUCCCAGAUUGAGAAGGGGCUGCCUCCAGCAAACAGAUGUGAACAGAGGCAGAGGGCACCACCCGGCAGCUUCUCCCCAAGCUAUGGAAUGCGGGCUUUGCUCACCUGGUCACUUCCAGCAAGUUGUCCCACCCGGCCCAUCUAUUUCUCCUGUUGCCUCUCGGCUGCAUCCCUAAAUCCUACCCCAUGUCCAAUAAAGAGUGUUGCAGACUGAACAGCAG
Molecule: long non-coding RNA, 943 nt
Filed under: Cricetulus griseus (Chinese hamster)
Lineage: Eukaryota; Metazoa; Chordata; Mammalia; Rodentia; Cricetidae
Description: lncRNA (ENSCGRG00015038569.1)
Source: RNAcentral